CAAUAGCGUAUAUUAAAGUUGUUGCAGUUAAAAAGCUCGUAGUUGGAGUUCAGAUUGAGCUCGGCCGGUCGGCCUAAUUGGUCAGAACUGGUUGACUCUGUCUUGUUUGUGGAUCCCUCCGGAGUUAACUCUUCGGAUGUGGAGUCCACAUCGUUUACCUUGAAAAAUUAGAGUGUUCAAAGCAGGCGUUUGCUUGAAUAUAUUAGCAUGGAAUAAUGGAAUAGGACGCUGGUUCUAUUUUGUUGGUUUUGAGAACCAGAGUAAUGAUUAAUAGGGACAGUUGGGGGCAUUAGUAUUUAAUUGUCAGAGGUGGAAUUCUCAGAUUUGUUAAAGACUAACUUAUGCGAAAGCAUUUGCCAAGGAUGUUUUCAUUAAUCAAGAACGAAAGUUAGGGGAUCAAAGACGAUUAGAUACCGU
This 417-nucleotide ribosomal RNA is filed under the name uncultured eukaryote. Its description in RNAcentral is "bacterial SSU rRNA". It matches the Rfam family "Eukaryotic small subunit ribosomal RNA", at positions 592 to 1018 of the family's 1831-position model. The record is from RNAcentral.